UCCGGUUGAUCCUGCCAGAGGCCGCUGCUAUCCGGCUGGGACUAAGCCAUGGGAGUCAUGGGGCGCGGGCCCUUCGGGGUUCGCGCACCGGCGGACGGCUCAGUAACACGUGGCCAACCUGCCCUCGGGAGGGGGAUAACCCCGGGAAACUGGGGCUAAACCCCCAUAGGGGAUGGGUGGUGGAAUUCCCCCAUCCCCGAAAGUGUGCGGUUGCCGUAAGGCGCCGCACAGCCCGAGGAUGGGGCUGCGGCGGAUUAGGUAGUUGGCGGGGUAACGGCCCGCCAAGCCGAAGAUCCGUACGGGCCAUGAGAGUGGGAGCCCGGAGAUGGCCCCUGAGACAAGGGGCCAGGCCCUACGGGGCGCACCAGGCGCGAAACCUCCGCAAUGCGGGAAACCGCGACGGGGUCAGCCGGAGUGCCCGCGCAUCGCGCGGGCUGUCGGGGAGCCUAAACAGCUCCCCAUAGCAAGGGCCGGGCAAGGCCGGUGGCAGCCGCCGCGGUAAUACCGGCGGCCCGAGUGGCGGCCACUAUUAUUGGGCCUAAAGCGUCCGUAGCCGGGCGGGUAAGUCCCCCGGGAAAUCUGGCGGCU
This 588-nucleotide ribosomal RNA is filed under the name uncultured archaeon. RNAcentral's name for it is "bacterial SSU rRNA". It matches the Rfam family "Archaeal small subunit ribosomal RNA", at positions 1 to 559 of the family's 1478-position model. The record is from RNAcentral.